CAAAAAAAAAAAGCCAAAUGCCAAAACCCAAGAGUCGGAGACGUCGAUUGUGUAACGUAGUCCACCACCAUCAAAGCUAUUAAAAGCUUCAACUCAUCCAUACUCUUCAUCUCUCCCCCGAAUCCAAAUCUCCUCUGGUAGCUUCCAUGGAUGAGAAACAGUCAGAUUUCCAGAUCCAAAGCUUUGAAUAAAUCUAGCACCAAAGCUCCGACAAUAUCAACCAGCGCAUCAAUGUCUAAGAAUCCAGGAAAAUCACCACUAAAGCUCCAACUGAAUCGACCACCAGUUCCAUGGAUAAGAAAAAAGGGUUGCUUGACUCGAUCUACAGCUUUGAAUCCUGCAAAAAGAAAGAUCCUCAUAGGGUUUGAUCUGUUAUUUAUGGCAAAGAGGUCUAUCCGUUCUUCAAGAACAUAGUUUAGCGAUUGAGUUCAAUUGGUUCUGGUUCCAUUCAUGCGAAGAGUUUGAAGCAAUCUCUAUGGUAAGGUUUAGGUUUUGUUGUCGAAUACAGUUAAAUUAUUUAAAUUAUUUUGCUUUUUUGUUGUUGUUGGUAUUUUAUCGGGAUGCAGAUAAAGAUCCAGAGUAUGGUAACCAAGCUGAGAUCAAAGCGCAAAGGAUGACUGCAUUUUAUGUUGAGACCAGCUUACUGAAGCGAGUGUUAGGGUAUUGCAACACAUCGCUUCAGCUCCAG
Brassica oleracea var. oleracea is the source of this 688-nucleotide long non-coding RNA. RefSeq lists it as uncharacterized. The transcript is spliced from 3 exons. NCBI's taxonomy places the organism in Eukaryota, Viridiplantae, Streptophyta, Magnoliopsida, Brassicales, Brassicaceae. The record is from RefSeq and is a predicted model, not a curated record.